GCGCCCGUAGCUCAGCUGGAUAGAGCGCCGGACUACGAAUCCGUAGGUCGGGGGUUCGAAUCCCUCCGGGCGCGCCA
RNAcentral lists this transfer RNA (77 nucleotides) under Desulfobacterium sp. RNAcentral describes it as "tRNA-Arg". It matches the Rfam family "tRNA". From Rfam's summary of the family: Transfer RNA (tRNA) molecules are approximately 80 nucleotides in length. Their secondary structure includes four short double-helical elements and three loops (D, anti-codon, and T loops). RNAcentral also lists the same sequence under 2 other names. Lineage: Bacteria; Pseudomonadati; Thermodesulfobacteriota; Desulfobacteria; Desulfobacterales; Desulfobacteriaceae. The record is from RNAcentral.